This 2219-nucleotide long non-coding RNA is filed under the name Nicotiana tabacum (common tobacco). Its description in RNAcentral is "long non-coding RNA (NTAB_LNC004581)". The record is from RNAcentral. Lineage: Eukaryota; Viridiplantae; Streptophyta; Magnoliopsida; Solanales; Solanaceae.
CACCAAUCCCUCCCCUUCAGGUACACAUGAUCAACACAUUUUACCCACAAGUUGUCUUCUUUCUUUGCUAUAUCCUAUACAUAUUUUUCAAUUGUAGUUUCAUUCCAUUUUACAUAGUCUCUGAUCCCCAAUCCUCCUUUCUUUUUAUGUCUAGUAACCACAUCCCAUGCCACUAGAGGUGUUCUAUUUGUUUCUACUUUACCAUUCCAAAGGAAGUUCCAACAGAUUGCUGCAAUUCUCUUCAUCACCAGUUUUGGAAGAAUGAAGAUCGAUGCCCAGUAUAUGUGUACAUGCAUGAGUACUGAGUUAAUAAGUUGCACCCUGCCUGCAUAAGACAAAUUUCUUGUCCCCAUCCUCUAAUUCUACUAGUUAUGUUUUGUGCCAAUAAAUCACAAUCUGUUGCUGAUAUCUUUCUUGCUAAUAUUGUGACUCCUAAGUAUCUGAAUGGAAGUGCCCCUUCUUGUAUCCUGUUAAUUCACAUAAGUCCUCUAAGCAUGACUCCUCCAUAUUAGCAUUGAAAAUAUUUGACUUAUCAACAUUAGUGUAUAGCCCUGAUGAGUGAGAGAAACUUUUCAGGCCCCUAAGCAUCAAUAUGACUGAAUGGAAGUCUCCUAUGCUAAAUAAUAGCACAUCAUCAACAAAACAUAAGUGGUUGAGAUGCAGGCUUUUAUAUUUUGUAUGAUAGUGGAAUCCUUCCUGAUUAGCUACAACCUUCAUAAUCCUAGUGAAGUACUCCAUGCAUAUUAUAAACAAUAAUGGAGAUAUGGGAUCCCUUUGUCUCAAUCCUCUUUUGCCUAUGAUUUUCCCAUACAUUCCUCCAUUUAGAGCCAGUGUAUAUUGUGUUGAAGUGAUGCAAACCAUUAUCUAUCUUAUAAAUCUUUCAAGAAAAUUAAGAGCAUAUAGCAUUUCUUGAACAAACUCCCACUCAACAGUGUCAUAAUCCUUCAUGAUAUCUACUUUAAUGAGGCAACUUUUUGUAGAAUUCUUUCUAUUGUACAAUCUCACUAAGUCUUGGCAUAUAAGUAUAUUCUGCACAAUGGUUCUAUUUGCCACAAAUGCACCCUGGUUAUGUGAUAUGACUGUAGGAAGUACUUCCUUGAGUCUGUUGCAUAGCAUCUUAGAAAUUAUCUUAUAGACUGUGUUGCAGUAGGCUAUUGGUCUGUAUUCACUUACUGACUCUGCAUGGUUGCUUUUAGGUAUGAGAGUAAUGGUUGUGUUGUUCAUUAUCUUCAACAAUUUACCAUUGUCAAAAAAUUCCAACACUGCAUCACAUAUAUCUUUCCCUACUAUCUCCCAGUUGUCUUUAAAAAAUUGACUUACAUAUUCAUUAGGACCUGGGGAUUUAUCUCCUAGUAUUGCCCAUAAGGCUUAUUUAACCUCUUUUUAUGUGAAGUCAUCCUCCAGCAUGCUUCUUUAUGCCACUGAUACUAUUGCUCCUUUCCUGACCAAAUUGCUAUUGACAUGAACUCUUUGUGUAGCUUUUGUUCCCAGCAACUCUUUGUAAUAAUCCAGAAAAGCUAUUGCAAUCUCUUCUAUUUCUGUUUUUGUUUCUCCCUUGUCAUUUCUAAUAUUAAACACUCUUGUUGCAUUCCUUCUGCUCUUCAUGUAAUUGUGGAGGUAUUUUGUAUUUUGGUCACCUCCCUGAAGCCAUUGUGCUUUGCUUUUUUGUUGUAAAUAUAAUUCCCUUGCCUUGUUCCACCUCUUGCACUCAUGAAUUAGCUUGCGUUCCUCCUCUAACAGUGCCAUGUUCUGUGGAUCCUGCUGUAUAUUGCUUUGACAUGCCAUCAGAUGUCUCAUUGCUUCUUCUGCUCUCAUUUCAACAUUGCUAAAUCUUGUUCUAUUUAACUCUUGCAAGGCUUUAAGGCUUUUUUCAAGUUAUUCAACUUGCCAACUAACUGGAACAUCUUUGUACCUGGUAAUGAUGUAGUCUAGUUGCUCUGCACUUUCUGUUUGUACUCAGGGACAAGUUUCCAUAUAUUAAAAUACUUGAAUGAUCUUGUAUUAUUCUGACUACCUUUAUCCCAUUUUAUGAUUGCAGGACAAUGGUCAUACAACCCCUCAUUCAUAAAAUGAACCUCUGAUGCCGGCAGUUGAGUAAGCCAGUCUAUAUUGGUCAACACUAUGUCAAUCCUACUAUACACUCUAUCGGUCCCUUGUUGUUUGCUAUUCCAUGUAUAGAAGGCUCCCGAUGAUUUUAAUUCCUGCAAUUCACAUUGGUC